GAUGAACGCUGACAGAAUGCUUAACACAUGCAAGUCUACUUGAACUUCGGUUUGGGUGGCGGACGGGUGAGUAACGCGUAAAGAACUUGCCUCACAGGUAGGGACAACAUUUGGAAACGAAUGCUAAUACCUGAUAUUAUGAUUUUAGGGCAUCCUAGAAUUAUGAAAGCUAUAUGCACUGUGAGAGAGCUUUGCGUCCCAUUAGCUAGUUGGAGAGGUAACGGCUCACCAAGGCGAUGAUGGGUAGCCGGCCUGAGAGGGUGAUCGGCCACAAGGGGACUGAGACACGGCCCUUACUCCUACGGGAGGCAGCAGUGGGGAAUAUUGGACAAUGGACCAAGAGUCUGAUCCAGCAAUUCUGUGUGCACGAUGAAGUUUUUCGGAAUGUAAAGUGCUUUCAGUUGGGAAGAAAAAAAUGACGGUACCAACAGAAGAAGUGACGGCUAAAUACGUGCCAGCAGCCGCGGUAAUACGUAUGUCACAAGCGUUAUCCGGAUUUAUUGGGCGUAAAGCGCGUCUGGGUGGUUAUGUAAGUCUGAUGUGAAAAUGCAGGGCUCAACUCUGUAUUGCGUUGGAAACUGUGUAACUAGAGUACUGGAGAGGUAAGCGGAACUACAAGUGUAGAGGUGAAAUUCGUAGAUAUUUGUAGGAAUGCCGAUGGGGAAGCCAGCUUACUGGACAGAUACUGACGCUGAAGCGCGAAAGCGUGGGUAGCAAACAGG
This 722-nucleotide ribosomal RNA is filed under the name uncultured Fusobacterium sp. RNAcentral's name for it is "bacterial SSU rRNA". It matches the Rfam family "Bacterial small subunit ribosomal RNA", at positions 28 to 776 of the family's 1533-position model. Lineage: Bacteria; Fusobacteriati; Fusobacteriota; Fusobacteriia; Fusobacteriales; Fusobacteriaceae. The record is from RNAcentral.